AUGCGCUGGAAAGGAUGGAAAGGAGAGCUCGGGGAGUUGCUGGUGGAGACUGGUGGUGAUGGUGGACAGUGCUCGCUGCUGGGAUGGGAGAGGGAGAUGGUGCUGUCUGUUGUGGUCAUGCCGGUCCAGUGGUCCACUACCUUCAGCAGCGAUGGUGUUGUGGUCAUGCCGGAUUGCCGGUCCACUAGAAGCCCACUGUUCAAUACCUAUCAGUGCCAUUUGAAAUUUGAAGAGAUUGAUGCUGAUGUUUGCGUACUUCUGCUGCUGCUAAUAUUCUCUCUAUGUGUGCUAAACUACAAGAAAGAAUACUAUAAACAAAGGACCAUGCAUUCUAUGCUCCCUCUCUGUCUUUAUCUCUAA
RNAcentral lists this ribosomal RNA (360 nucleotides) under Triticum aestivum (bread wheat). RNAcentral describes it as "partial small subunit ribosomal RNA". Lineage: Eukaryota; Viridiplantae; Streptophyta; Magnoliopsida; Poales; Poaceae. The record is from RNAcentral.